AGCGAACGCUGGCGGCAGGCCUAACACAUGCAAGUCGAACGAAGUCUUCGGACUUAGUGGCGGACGGGUGAGUAACACGUGAGAACGUGCCCUUAGGUUCGGAAUAACUCAGGGAAACUUGUGCUAAUACCGAAUGUGCCCUUCGGGGGAAAGAUUUAUCGCCUUUAGAGCGGCCCGCGUCUGAUUAGCUAGUUGGUGAGGUAAAGGCUCACCAAGGCGACGAUCAGUAGCUGGUCUGAGAGGAUGAUCAGCCACAUUGGGACUGAGACACGGCCCAAACUCCUACGGGAGGCAGCAGUGGGGAAUCUUGCGCAAUGGGCGAAAGACUGACGCAGCCAUGCCGCGUGAAUGAUGAAGGUCUUAGGAUUGUAAAAUUCUUUCACCGGGGACGAUAAUGACGGUACCCGGAGAAGAAGCCCCGGCUAACUUCGUGCCAGCCGCCGCAGUAA
This 449-nucleotide ribosomal RNA is filed under the name uncultured bacterium. RNAcentral describes it as "partial 16S ribosomal RNA". It matches the Rfam family "Bacterial small subunit ribosomal RNA", at positions 29 to 523 of the family's 1533-position model. The record is from RNAcentral.